This 85-nucleotide non-coding RNA is filed under the name Edwardsiella tarda. Lineage: Bacteria; Pseudomonadati; Pseudomonadota; Gammaproteobacteria; Enterobacterales; Hafniaceae. The record is from RNAcentral.
UUUAUGGUGGGGCGUGCAGGGCAGCCUUUGUGCUGGCCGGUUUCUGUGGUCACCGGUAUUUCCACCCCUGCACGUCUCACCACCA